Molecule: ribosomal RNA, 373 nt
Filed under: uncultured organism
Description: partial 16S ribosomal RNA
Rfam family: Bacterial small subunit ribosomal RNA
Source: RNAcentral
GUAGGUGGCAAGCGUUGUCCGGAAUUAUUGGGCGUAAAGCGCGCGCAGGCGGUUCUUUAAGUCUGAUGUGAAAGCCCACGGCUCAACCGUGGAGGGUCAUUGGAAACUGGAGAACUUGAGUACAGAAGAGGAAAGCGGAAUUCCACGUGUAGCGGUGAAAUGCGUAGAGAUGUGGAGGAAUACCAGUGGCGAAGGCGGCUUUCUGGUCUGUAACUGACGCUGAGGCGCGAAAGCGUGGGGAGCAAACAGGGAUUAGAUACCCUGGUAGUCCACGCCGUAAACGAUGAGUGCUAAGUGUUAGGGGGUUUCCGCCCCCUUAGUGCUGCAGCUAACGCAUUAAGCACUCCGCCUGGGGAGUACGGCCGCAAGGCUG